GACGAACGCUGGCGGCGUGCUUAACACAUGCAAGUCGAACGGAAAGGCCCUGCUUUUGUGGGGUGCUCGAGUGGCGAACGGGUGAGUAACACGUGAGUAACCUGCCCUUGACUUUGGGAUAACUUCAGGAAACUGGGGCUAAUAUCGGAUAGGAGCUCCUGCUGCAUGGUGGGGGUUGGAAAGUUUCGGCGGUUGGGGAUGGACUCGCGGCUUAUCCGCUUGUUGGUGGGGUAGUGGCUUACCAAGGCUUUGACGGGUAGCCGGCCUGAGAGGGUGACCGGCCACAUUGGGACUGAGAGACGGCCCAGUCUCCUACGGGAGGCAGCAGUGGGGAAUAUUGCACAAUGGGCGGAAGCCUGAUGCAGCAACGCCGCGUGCGGGAUGACGGCCUUCGGGUUGUAAACCGCUUUCGCCUGUGACGAAGCGUGAGUGACGGUAAUGAGUAAAGAAGCACCGGCUAACUACGUG
Molecule: ribosomal RNA, 468 nt
Filed under: uncultured bacterium
Lineage: Bacteria
Description: partial 16S ribosomal RNA
Rfam family: Bacterial small subunit ribosomal RNA
Source: RNAcentral